AACCCAGAUGUCCCUGCAUCCCAGCUGAGACCAUCCUCCAGGAAAAACACUGGCCCAAUACAGCCGCACAAAAAGUCAUCAGCAAGACCAGCGGAAGAACCGCCCAGACAAUCCUAGCCAAGAAUGUGGAACGGAUGGCUAUUCAUCCCAAUUUGCCUGGGAAUGAAGGCGUUUCCAGGACACAGGACUUACAGUGCUAAAACAGGAAAGUCCUGGGGAACCUGCAAGAGUUGGUCACCUUCUUUCCAACAUCUCAACUAAACAGGAGUUUACUUCAGAUCAAAAUGCAAUCUUAUUCACACAGUUUGGGAGCUUACGGAAGGGGAAGCUAGAGAAGAGAUCUGGUCAUCUGUUAAUUCCUUAUUCUUCAUUUCUACUUCUUUGAUCUAUGGAAAGAACCAACACGUUAGGCAAGGUAUUGUGUGAUCAAAAGAUUUGAAAGGUGUGCUUGGUCCAGAGGUGAGUAGAACAUGGGGGAUGCCUGGUUUAACGUUAGUGUCAAGACAAAAGGGGCCUCCUGCAGGGAACUCUUUCCUGCAAAGAGCUCUUUCCUCCCAAAAGCUGCUUACAAAAUGUUAAAUUAUAUUUAAUGAUUAUUCAGGUAAAGUUCAGAAAAAGCAUCACAACUCCAACCCCAGGUAUUCAUCUGAACAGGGCAGAAUUCCUGAAUUAAUUGUAAUUUCCAAUUCACCUUCCUUCCUUCUAAAUUGCACUUCAAAUUGCUUGAUAAAUCAGAAGUAUAAUUAUGACAGGUUUUCAUAAUUUGGAAUAGGCCCAGAAUUACUACUGUAUUAUCACAAAACUCAUUUUCCAGAUGUUUUAAUGGUACAGAAGCUUAUCCUUGCCUAUAUUUAUAUCUUGUAAGUCCAAUUUAGACCCUUAGGAAGGUAGAUUUCUAGAUCCAUUGUUUAAUGUGUCUAGCUCUUUGCUGACACUCACAAGAGUUAAAAUUUAUGCUGUAUAUUCUAAUUAGCUACAUCUUCUUUAUGUCAUUGUACAGAUAAUUAAGGAGCCAUUCCAUUUAUACAUUUGGUUGAACCUAACUGGACUUUUGGUCCCAACCAAAUUAUGACUAGUACUUACACUUACCUCUUUGUUUAAAGACUCAGACAAAAUUUUAUUUUGUCUCACAAAUGUUAAAAUAGCAGUGAAAGGAGAAUGUGCUGUAAAAUAUAUUUUUUGGACUGAUUAUCUUAUGCAUUUCAGGUGAAAACUUUCUUCAAAUUAUGCCAACUAUUUACAUUUUAGUCCCACAUAUAUUUUUAUUCAAUUUCGCCUACAUAACUACCCUUUUCUUUUCCCAAUUUAACCAAGUCUAAAAAUACAAACUUCUAACUCUAUUAAUAAUGUAUCACUAAUGUAUCCCAAAAUACUGCAUAGGAGGCAAGAGCUUUGUUUUAAUACAUGAGCCAUUGGCCACUAAGGAAAACAAUAAUAAUGUAUUCAGUUGCCUAAUAACUUUAAAGUACUUCAACACCGUGUUUGAUGUGUUUGUGCAGAACAAUGCAAAACAACUUCUAUGCCUCGAAACAAAAUGCUUGAACAUCACUUAAUAGCUUACAAGCCAACUGAGAGGUCAGGGAGCAAAACAAAAUAGAAAUUCUAAUUAACCACAACUCUUUCUGAAGAAAGGGGCAAGUCCCUGCAAACAUUUUAAGCUAUUUUCUAUCCACAAAUAAGCUAUAAAAAUUCCAUGUACAGUGUGGGAAACAGCACAUUUGUCUGGGCUACUGAGAGCACCCUCUUACUUGCUUAUAUAUCUAGACUAUUUUAUUGGGAAGUUUUCCAGCUUGGACAAACCCCAGCUUUGUAACAGUGAUCUACUUGAAAACCUUUUAACAAAUGCUUAAUUUUAGCAUAUGUUGGCCCGAGAUUUUUUUUGGUUCAAGGAACUUAUUUUUUUGAUUAAAUAUGUCCAUAUUUAUAUUUUACAUAAAUGUAGCUAUUCACAUGUGCCUACCUUUGGCUGCAUGGCUGCUCCCCCACCUUCACCCCAUCUUUUGCCACCCCUACACACCUCUCUCCAAACUGCUCCUGGAACUGUGGCUGCCGCUGACAUAGUAGAGGUAUAUUACCUUGGACCAUAAGAUUCCCCACGACAGUAUUCCUCCACUCUAAGCCUGCACUUCAACCAAAGCCCCUGGCUAAUGAAGCCAACCCAGGUUCCUGGUACGAUUUUAUGUACAAGAAGUCUGGACUAAGCACUGUGUCCUCCCAAACAUCUGCCUACUUCCCUGCAGUAUAGCCUUUUUCCUCUCCAGAGACCACACAACCUUCUACCUGUUCUUGUUACCUACUCCAGGUUCAUACUUCUCACUGUAUGACAGGCCAAUAAAUCAAGACACGAGUCAUUGGGCAAGGAAUAGAGACUUUAUUUGGAAAGCCAGCAAACUGAGGUGUCGGACUAGUGUCCCAAAGAACCAUCUUGCACAGGUUUGGAUGCUAGUUUCUUUUAUAGAAC
Aethalodelphis obliquidens (Pacific white-sided dolphin) is the source of this 2461-nucleotide long non-coding RNA. RefSeq lists it as uncharacterized. The record is from RefSeq and is a predicted model, not a curated record. NCBI's taxonomy places the organism in Eukaryota, Metazoa, Chordata, Mammalia, Artiodactyla, Delphinidae. The transcript is spliced from 3 exons.